Molecule: ribosomal RNA, 496 nt
Filed under: uncultured bacterium
Lineage: Bacteria
Description: partial 16S ribosomal RNA
Rfam family: Bacterial small subunit ribosomal RNA
Source: RNAcentral
GAUGAACGCUGGCGGCGUGCCUAAUACAUGCAAGUCGAGCGAACAGACGCGGAGCUUGCUCCUCUGACGUUAGCGGCGGACGGGUGAGUAACACGUGGAUAACCUACCUAUAAGACUGGGAUAACUUCGGGACACCGGAGCUAAUACCGGAUAAUCUAUUGAACCGCAUGGUUCAAUAGUGAAAGACGGUUUUGCUGUCACUUAUAGAUGGAUCCGCGCCGCAUUAGCUAGUUGGUAAGGUAACGGCUUCCAAGGCAACGAUGCGUAGCCGAACUGAGAGGGUGAUAGGCCACACGGGAACUGGGACAGGGACCAGACUACUACGGGAGGCAGCAGUAGGGAAUCUUCCGCAAUGGGCGAAAGCCUGACGGAGCAACGCCGCGUGAGUUAUGAAGGUCUUCGGAUCGUAAAACUCUGUUAUUAGUGAAGAACAAAUGUGUAAGUAACUAUGCACGUCGUGACGGUACCUAAUCAGAAAGCCACGGCUAACUACGUG